GAGUUUGAUCCUGGCUCAGAUUGAACGCUGGCGGCAUGCCUUACACAUGCAAGUCGAACGGCAGCACGGGAGCUUGCUCCUGGUGGCGAGUGGCGAACGGGUGAGUAAUGCAUCGGAACGUAUCCUGGAGUGGGGGAUAACGUAGCGAAAGUUACGCUAAUACCGCAUAUUCUGUGAGCAGGAAAGCGGGGGACCUUCGGGCCUCGCGCUCUUGGAGCGGCCGAUGUCGGAUUAGCUAGUUGGUGAGGUAAAGGCUCACCAAGGCGACGAUCCGUAGCAGGUCUGAGAGGAUGAUCUGCCACACUGGAACUGAGACACAGUCCAGACUCCUACGGAGGCAGCAGUGGGGAAUUUUGGACAAUGGGGGCAACCCUGAUCCAGCCAUGCCGCGUGAGUGAAGAAGGCCU
This 407-nucleotide ribosomal RNA is filed under the name bacterium enrichment culture clone ALO1_GLFRUDD03FXOTM. RNAcentral describes it as "bacterial SSU rRNA". It matches the Rfam family "Bacterial small subunit ribosomal RNA", at positions 9 to 417 of the family's 1533-position model. The record is from RNAcentral.